RNAcentral lists this ribosomal RNA (902 nucleotides) under uncultured bacterium. Its description in RNAcentral is "bacterial SSU rRNA". It matches the Rfam family "Bacterial small subunit ribosomal RNA", at positions 496 to 1408 of the family's 1533-position model. The record is from RNAcentral.
GAAUUCGAUUGUGCCAGCAGCCGCGGUAACACGUAGGAGGCAAACGUUAUCCGGAUUUACUGGGCGUAAAGCGCGUGUAGGUGGUACUGUAAGUAGGGCGUGAAAGCUCCUGGCUCAACUGGGAGAGGCCGUUCUAAACUACAGAACUAGAGGAUGGUAGAGGGAGGUGGAAUUCCAGGUGUAGCGGUGGAAUGCGCAGAUAUCUGGAGGAACACCGGUGGCGAAGGCGGCCUCCUGGACCAUUCCUGACACUCAGACGCGAAAGCUAGGGUAGCAAACGGGAUUAGAGACCCCGGCAGUCCUAGCCCUAAACGAUGUAGACUAGGCGUCGGAAGCUUAAUCGCUUUCGGUGUCCAAGCUAACGCGAUAAGUCUACCGCCUGGGGACUACGGCCGCAAGGUUAAAACUCAAAGGAAUUGACGGGUCCCCGCACAAGCAGCGGAGCGUGUGGUUUAAUUCGUUGCUACACGAAGAACCUUACCUGGGUUUGACAUAGCAGUGGUAGGGAAGCGAAAGCGGACCGACCCUUCGGGGAGCUGUUACAGGUGUUGCAUGGCUGUCGUCAGCUCGUGUCGUGAGAUGUUCGGUUAAGUCCGCUAACGAGCGCAACCCGCGUUGUGUGUUACAGGUGUCACACAAUACCGCCGGUAUUAAGUCGGAGGAAGGUGCGGAUGACGUCAAGUCAGCAUGACCUUUAUAUCCAGGGCUACACACACGCUACAAUGGUCAGCACAAUAGGUUGCCAAGUCGUGAGACGGAGCCAAUCCUCCAAAGCUGGCCUCAGUUCAGAUUGCAGGCUGCAACUCGCCUGCAUGAAGUUGGAGUUGCUAGUAACCGCAGGUCAGCUAUACGGCGGUGAAUACGUUCCCGGGGAUUGCACACACCGCCCGUCAAUCACUAGU